AUUGAACGCUGGCGGCAGGCCUAACACAUGCAAGUCGAACGGUAGCACAGAGAGCUUGCUCUUGGGUGACGAGUGGCGGACGGGUGAGUAAUGUCUGGGAAACUGCCCGAUGGAGGGGGAUAACUACUGGAAACGGUAGCUAAUACCGCAUAACGUCUUCGGACCAAAGUGGGGGACCUUCGGGCCUCACACCAUCGGAUGUGCCCAGAUGGGAUUAGCUAGUAGGUGGGGUAAAGGCUCACCUAGGCGACGAUCCCUAGCUGGUCUGAGAGGAUGACCAGCCACACUGGAACUGAGACACGGUCCAGACUCCUACGGGAGGCAGCAGUGGGGAAUAUUGCACAAUGGGCGCAAGCCUGAUGCAGCCAGGCCGCGUGUAUGAAGAAGGCCUUCGGGUUGUAAAGUACUUUCAGCGGGGAGGAAGGCGUUAAGGUUAAUAACCUUGGCGAUUGACGUUACCCGCAGAAGAAGCACCGGCUAACUCCGUGCCAGCCGCCGCGGUAA
Molecule: ribosomal RNA, 504 nt
Filed under: uncultured bacterium
Lineage: Bacteria
Description: partial 16S ribosomal RNA
Rfam family: Bacterial small subunit ribosomal RNA
Source: RNAcentral